Molecule: small RNA, 393 nt
Filed under: Histoplasma ohiense
Lineage: Eukaryota; Fungi; Ascomycota; Eurotiomycetes; Onygenales; Ajellomycetaceae
Description: hypothetical lncRNA
Source: RNAcentral
UUAUGAUUGACAUCAACUUGAGUCAUAGCCAAACACAACUACUAAUGAUACCUUUCCUCUUGCAAGGAAACUGAUAAAAUCCAAAAUGAAAUACUGUGACAGGUUAGCACCCGUUAGUAAUUAACUUACACAACCAACUCCCCUCCUGCACCCGCUCGUUCCUGGCCAUUGUGACCUCAUGUAACCCUCGAUGUUCUUCCACUCUGUGCUCUGUGCUCACAUAGUUUCUAACAAUUCUUCCACAUAGCUCUUAACAUUCUUCCACUCUGUGCUCCACACUCAUAUAGUCUCUAACAAUUCUUCCAUGUAGCUCCUUACAUUCUCCCACUCUGUGUUCCACACUCACAUAGUCUCUAACAAUUCUUCUGUGUAGUUCUCAAUGAUUCCCCCACC